AGGACGAACGCUGGCGGCGUGCUUAACACAUGCAAGUCGAACGGAAAGGCCCGCUUGCGGGUACUCGAGUGGCGAACGGGUGAGUAACACGUGGGCAACCUGCCCUCAGCUCUGGGAUAACUCCGGGAAACCGGUGCUAAUACUGGAUAUCGACUUCUGCCUCGCAUGGGGUGUUGUUGAAAGUUUUUCGGCUGGGGAUGGGCCCGCGGCCUAUCAGCUUGUUGGUGGGGUGAUGGCCUACCAAGGCGACGACGGGUAGCCGGCCUGAGAGGGCGACCGGCCACACUGGGACUGAGACACGGCCCAGACUCCUACGGGAGGCAGCAGUGGGGAAUAUUGCGCAAUGGGCGGAAGCCUGACGCAGCGACGCCGCGUGAGGGAUGACGGCCUUCGGGUUGUAAACCUCUUCAGCUCUGACGAAGCGAGAGUGACGGUAGGAGCAGAAGAAGCACCGGCAACUACGUGCCAGCAGCCGC
This 476-nucleotide ribosomal RNA is filed under the name uncultured bacterium. RNAcentral's name for it is "SSU rRNA". It matches the Rfam family "Bacterial small subunit ribosomal RNA", at positions 26 to 518 of the family's 1533-position model. The record is from RNAcentral.